This 1627-nucleotide unclassified non-coding RNA is filed under the name Hevea brasiliensis (rubber tree). The record is from RNAcentral. Lineage: Eukaryota; Viridiplantae; Streptophyta; Magnoliopsida; Malpighiales; Euphorbiaceae.
UAAUGGGAAAAAAAAAAAGAUUUAUAACAUUUUUUUUUCUCUAUACCAUAUACUUGAAAACUACAUUAUUAAGCCAUUAGCAAUGGCACGAUUAGUAUCAACAUGAGUAGUUUCAUACACAGGAAGCUCCUGGCAAUACCUAUCCUUUCCAAUUGCUGAAAGAUGAUCGAGUUCGAACAAAUCUGAACUCGAACAACUUAUAUCAUCAUCAUCGUCAUCAUCGUCUUCGAAAUGAUCAUUGUAUUUGCAGCCAACACUCCUCAUAAUCAGAUCAUCAUUUUUCUUUUGAUUUUGAUGAUAAUCUUUCAAGAUUUCUCUUGCGACUUCCUCCACUCUCUUGCUCUUCUCCAUUACUUGGUAUUUGAGCUCAUCAUCCACUUUUCUUGAUGGUGAUUUCCCAAUUUUCCAUGCAGUUGGCAGAGAGACAGACAUGACACUGGAUGAUUCCUCUUUUUCGUACAAAGAUUUGUGUCCACACGGUCUACAAUCUUCGUCAACAAUUACACUAACUGGGCAAAAUCGAACAGACCUUUUAACCCCGUUUCGAAGUUUUUCCCUUGUGGAUGGUGAACUCUUGCUUAAGCAUGAUCUUGAAAAGGAUGAAGCUGAAGAGCAAGUUGAUGUUGCCUGUCCAGGCUUGGAUUUCCAGUCUUCAUCACAAUUGCUAAUGGAAGAUGAAUUCUUUGAUUUCUUUGUGUUCCCAGAUGUAAAUAGAGAAUUAAUGAAGUUUGCAAGCUUACCACCAGGUGAAAUUGGCUGUUUCACCUUCUUUAGAUUGUUGUAAAUCUUUAAAGCUCUUGAUUUGGACUUGAUUAUGCCCUCUUCAACCCUUGGAGUUUGCUCUGUAGCUGAGCUGUAGGGAUAAUCACCAAACAUUUGCAAUUCUCUCUGUUCGUAAAACAGAGUCCUUCCUGUUCUCUCUGUUUUCUCCAUUUUUUCUGAUAGAGAAGAGACGCUGGUCCUUACGGGCUUAGGCCUCGGUGCGGCGGAGAAUGAAGAGGCCCUUGAUCUUGCACCGUGGAAGGACUCUGUAUCGGAGGAUGAGAAUCCACCGGAACUAGAAUCUGAGGAGGUAGAAGUUGAGCUAAAGAACAUAACAUCCUGGUCUAGAUCAUGUUCAAGCUGUGAUUUCCUCUUGAAUUCCGUCAAAUUUUUUCUGCUAUGUUGCAUGCUGACCUUUUGGCUCACCUUGUGGUCCAUCCAUUUCUCGAUCAAACAAGCUCGGCGAAGUGCUGCCAUCUCUUUGUCCUCUUCAAUGGCUACACCGCUUUUUAUACAAGAACCUUUGCUGUGCUUCUUGGGCAUUAUCGUUUCGCCAUAAAAUUUCAAAUCUUCACGCUUUGUGUCACCUUCACAUGUGGAACGGUAGAUUUCAUCGAGAAGACUGGAAGAGAAAGAUGGGGUCUUACCCUCGUUCUUGUAUCUGCCUUCUCUCAUAGCUUUCUCCCACCUAUGCAUGGUUUCUCUGUGGAAAUGAACAAAACAAGGAUUACACACACACGCACAGAUUUAUGUGGAAACAGAGAGAGAAACAAGAAGAGGUCUUGAGAUUGGGUUCUCUUUUUUUGUCUGUUUAGAGAGGCCGAAAGGCUGCAAUAGAGAGAGACAGAGAGAGAGGGAGAGAGAG